CCUGCUUGAAUUAUCGGAAUUGACCGACCAACUGGUAGUAUUGCAUUGCAUGCAGGUGGUCAACCAUGGCAUCUCCGAGCCGAUGCUGCAUGAAAUGUACGCGGUGUGCCAUGAGUUCUUCGAUAUGCCUGCGGAGGACAAGGCGGAGUUCUUCUCUGAAGACAGAAGCGAACGCAACAAGCUCUUCUGCGGCUCCGCCUUCGAGACCCUAGGCGAGAAGUACUGGAUUGACGUCCUCGAACUCCUCUACCCCUUGCCUUCGGGCGACACCAAGGACUGGCCCCACAAGCCACAGAUGCUCCGGUAAUAAUAAUUAAGCUGCAACCAUUUAGGCCGACGAAUCGAAUGGCUUGCUUUCAUGUCAACUGAUCUUUGCGCCUUCGAUUCUAAUCUGCAGGGAGGUUGUUGGGAACUACACCUCGUUGGCAAGAGGCGUGGCCAUGGAGAUCCUGCGGCUGCUGUGCGAGGGACUGGGACUCCGGCCAGACUUCUUUGUCGGGGACAUCAGCGGAGGCCGCGUGGUCGUCGAUAUCAACUACUACCCGCCUAGCCCGAACCCGAGCAGGACGUUGGGCCUGCCGCCACACUGUGACCGGGACCUUAUGACCGUCCUCCUCCCCGGGGCCGUUCCUGGCCUCGAGAUCGCCUACAAGGGCGGCUGGAUCAAGGUCCAGCCCGUGCCAAACUCCUUGGUUAUCAACUUCGGCCUACAGCUCGAGGUGACUUUUUUGCAUCGUCGUUAAGUGUAAUUACUAGUACUGAAUAUCCAGUAAUAAUAUAAUUCAGAUUGCUCAUUUCUUGGUUUUGCACGUAUAUACACACUAUAUUCAUGCAUGCAGGUCGUGACCAACGGGUAUCUGAAGGCUGUCGAGCACCGCGCGGCCACCAACUUUGCCGAGCCCCGGCUGUCAGUGGCCUCGUUCAUUGUGCCGGCGGACGACUGCGUCGUCGGCCCUGCGGAGGAGUUCGUCAGCGAGGACAACCCGCCACGCUACCGCACCCUAACCGUCGGCGAGUUCAAGCGCAAGCACAACGUUGUCAAUCUGGAUUCCUCAAUCAAUCAGAUCAUUAACAUCAAUAACAACCAGAAGGGAAUAUGAAGCAGAAACAGGAGAAAGAGGAUUUGCAUCACUUCCUCGAUCGUUCGAGAAAGGCCAAGUGAUGCCAAGUUUUAUUCCAAUGUCUCUCAAGUCGCGACGGGUGUCAGUUACAUCUAGCUGAUACGAGAUAUUUAGUCGUGACAUGUGAUGAGAUCGUACGUACCUGUCGUACGUGUUGGUGAUACCAAGCAAUACAAAU
RNAcentral lists this long non-coding RNA (1299 nucleotides) under Hordeum vulgare. RNAcentral's name for it is "long non-coding RNA (HVUL_LNC020738)". The record is from RNAcentral. Lineage: Eukaryota; Viridiplantae; Streptophyta; Magnoliopsida; Poales; Poaceae.